AUACGGAGGGUGCAAGCGUUAAUCGGAAUUACUGGGCGUAAAGCGCGCGUAGGCGGUUUGAUAAGUCGGAUGUGAAAUCCCCGGGCUCAACCUGGGAAUUGCAUUCGAUACUGUCAGGCUAGAGUGUGGUAGAGGAAAGUGGAAUUUCCGGUGUAGCGGUGAAAUGCGUAGAUAUCGGAAGGAACACCAGUGGCGAAGGCGGCUUCCUGGACCAACUCUGACGCUGAGGUGCGAAAGCGUGGGGAGCAAACAGGAUUAGAAACCCUAGUAGUCC
Molecule: ribosomal RNA, 274 nt
Filed under: uncultured bacterium
Lineage: Bacteria
Description: partial 16S ribosomal RNA
Rfam family: Bacterial small subunit ribosomal RNA
Source: RNAcentral